RNAcentral lists this unclassified non-coding RNA (401 nucleotides) under fungal sp. RNAcentral describes it as "partial internal transcribed spacer region". The stretch from base 1 to 46 matches the Rfam family "Eukaryotic small subunit ribosomal RNA", at positions 1786 to 1831 of the family's 1831-position model. The record is from RNAcentral. Lineage: Eukaryota; Fungi.
AAGUCGUAACAAGGUCUCCGUAGGUGAACCUGCGGAGGGAUCAUUAACACGUAUCCAAACGUUCAACAAACCCCAAACGGUCUCCUAUUAGACCCACGAGAACGGCGUCUGUCAGCCAUAGGUGAGGCUCAUUCUUCGCAAGGAGGAUGGGUCGCUACGACAGACUAUUUAUUGCUCAAAAGGGCUACCGCACAUCGUGGUGUAUGAAGUUCACCUGGCUGCUAGUGCCACCUCAGCGUGUCCACAUUUCGGUGUGGGCUAAUCUGAAGCCUAGUGUGCCUUAUUGUACCCCAUUUUAACCCCUUUUUUUAUAACUACUGAACUACUUCUGUUGAGACUUCGGUCUUGAUGGAGUACUACGAAACAACGCACAACUCUUAGCAACGGAUAUCUUGGUUCUC